RNAcentral lists this ribosomal RNA (301 nucleotides) under uncultured bacterium. RNAcentral describes it as "bacterial SSU rRNA". It matches the Rfam family "Bacterial small subunit ribosomal RNA", at positions 30 to 334 of the family's 1533-position model. The record is from RNAcentral.
AUUGAACGCUGGCGGCAGGCCUAACACAUGCAAGUCGAGCGAUAACGGUCUUCGGGCUUAUUAAAGCGGCGGACGGGUGAGUAACGCGUGGGAAUCUACCUAGUAGUGGGGGACAACAGUUGGAAACGACUGCUAAUACCGCAUACGCCCUACGGGGGAAAGCGGAGGAUCUUCGGACUUCGUGCUAUUGGAUGAGCCCGCGUGAGAUUAGUUUGUUGGUGGGGUAAUGGCCUACCAAGACUACGAUCUCUAGCUGGUCUGAGAGGAUGAUCAGCCACACUGGAACUGAGACACGGUCCAG